RNAcentral lists this ribosomal RNA (497 nucleotides) under uncultured bacterium. Its description in RNAcentral is "partial 16S ribosomal RNA". It matches the Rfam family "Bacterial small subunit ribosomal RNA", at positions 28 to 507 of the family's 1533-position model. The record is from RNAcentral.
GACGAACGCUGGCGGCGUGCCUAAUACAUGCAAGUUGAGCGCUGAAGGUUGGUACUUGUACCGACUGGAUGAGCAGCGAACGGGUGAGUAACGCGUGGGGAAUCUGCCUUUGAGCGGGGGACAACAUUUGGAAACGAAUGCUAAUACCGCAUAAAAACUUUAAACACAAGUUUUAAGUUUGAAAGAUGCAAUUGCAUCACUCAAAGAUGAUCCCGCGUUGUAUUAGCUAGUUGGUGAGGUAAAGGCUCACCAAGGCGAUGAUACAUAGCCGACCUGAGAGGGGGAGCUGCGACACUGGGACGGGAACACGGCCCAAAAGCCUAGAGGAGGCAGCAGUAGGGGAUCUUCGGGAGAGGACGAAAGGCUGAACGAGCAACGACGAGUGAGAGAAGGAGGGUUUCGGAUCGUAAAAAUCUGUUGGUAGAGAAGAACGUUGGUUGGAGUUGAAAGCUCAUCAAGUGACGGUAACUACCCAGAAAGGGACGGCUAACUACGUG